RNAcentral lists this unclassified non-coding RNA (279 nucleotides) under plant metagenome. RNAcentral describes it as "partial contains small subunit ribosomal RNA, internal transcribed spacer 1, and 5.8S ribosomal RNA". The record is from RNAcentral.
UUUCCGUAGGUGAACCUGCGGAAGGAUCAUUACCAAUAAGCGUUUCAUGGCGCUCUAUAACCCAUCCGUGUUCACCAUGUGUGCAACGUUCGGAGACCCCCCAUCGAUAGCUUCUAGGUGGCGGACGGGCGCACCUCCACGACUGCCCAACAUCACCCUGAACUUAUUUGUCUGAUUACUUGUUAUCACGAAUUAACAAAAUUCUAAAACUCACCUUUAAAGAACGGUUCUCUUGGCCCUCGCAGCGAUGAAGAACACAGCAGAUGGGAACAGCGCUGG